Molecule: long non-coding RNA, 1039 nt
Filed under: Vombatus ursinus (common wombat)
Lineage: Eukaryota; Metazoa; Chordata; Mammalia; Diprotodontia; Vombatidae
Description: lncRNA (ENSVURG00010008311.1)
Source: RNAcentral
GGAAAGGAUCUUAAAAGUCAUUUAAUCUACCCUCUCUUUUUACAGAUAAGGAAACUGAGGCUGAGAAGUUAGGUCAGCCAGUCAAGAAAAGUUUGUCAAGCAACUACAAGUUCCAGGUGCUGUGUCAAGUGUUAGUGAUGCAAAUAAGAAAGAGACAGUUCCUGCCCUGGAGGAGUUUACAAUCUAACAGAAGAAGAAAAUCCACAAAAAGAAGCUGAAUGGGGUUAAGAGAGAGAGGAAGGGACGGUGUCUUGGAGAAGUACCAGGGAAUGCAGCCUGGUGGGAGAUAAAGAGUUGGCUGGCCUGGGCACCCUCCUUAAAGGGAGGUUAGGUGACCAGCCUAUAUUCUCAAAACUAGGGAAGUGUCAGGGACAGGAUUUGAACCCAGUUUUUCCUGACUCACUGUCGCCAUGAUGUUGACCACACUGCCUCUGAUUUUUAGGGUCAUGCUCUAGAGCCUGAAGGGACCCUAAAGGUCAUCUAUUCUAAUUCCAUCAUUUUGCAGAACUCAGAGAUUGAUUGACGCAAGAACUUGGCAGAAAUCUCCAUCAGGUCCUGCGAUCCCAUCGCCUUUCAAGAGUUUUGUACUUUCCCACAAUGUUACGGUCACUGGAUCUUCUACCAAUUACUUCCUGUGUAACUUUGGGCAGCUCGCCCUUACCCUCUGGGUCUCAGUUUCCCCAUCUGUAACAGGAGGGGUGGAAGAGGUGAAAUUCUAUCAUAUUUGCUGAUUGAAUGAGGAAGGCAGCUGCCUUGUGGUCCAAUGCCUGGGAAGGGCGCUGUCUUUUUCUGUCUAGGAGCUGGGCCCCCGCUAGCUGGCUUUGAGCACCUCUGCCCUCGUGACAGGGGCUCUUCACACCUGCCUUCUCUCCUCACUGAGCAGCUGAGGGAGGACAGCCCCUUCCCCCACAGGAAGCCUGCCAAGGAGGGGAGAGGUGUGGAGCCAGCUGCUUCUGGGGCCUAACACCACCCAAGUGAUGGAGGCAGGGAGAAGAGGAUGAGAGAGAGAAAAAUAAAGAAAAAGAAGACGAAAUUUCCA